GAGUUUGAUCAUGGCUCAGAUUGAACGCUGGCGGCAGGCCUAACACAUGCAAGUCGAACGGUAACAGAAAGCAGCUUGCUGCUUUGCUGACGAGUGGCGGACGGGUGAGUAAUGUCUGGGAAACUGCCUGAUGGAGGGGGAUAACUACUGGAAACGGUAGCUAAUACCGCAUAACGUCGCAAGACCAAAGAGGGGGACCUUCGGGCCUCUUGCCAUCGGAUGUGCCCAGAUGGGAUUAGCUUGUUGGUGGGGUAACGGCUCACCAAGGCGACGAUCCCUAGCUGGUCUGAGAGGAUGACCAGCCACACUGGAACUGAGACACGGUCCAGACUCCUACGGGAGGCAGCAGUGGGGAAUAUUGCACAAUGGGCGCAAGCCUGAUGCAGCCAUGCCGCGUGUAUGAAGAAGGCCUUCGGGUUGUAAAGUACUUUCAGCGGGGAGGAAGGGAGUAAAGUUAAUACCUUUGCUCAUUGACGUUACCCGCAGAAGAAGCACCGGCUAACUCCGUGCCAGCAGCCGCGGUAAUACGGAGGGUGCAAGCGUUAAUCGGAAUUACUGGGCGUAAAGCGCACGCAGGCGGUUUGUUAAGUCAGAUGUGAAAUCCCCGGGCUCAACCUGGGAACUGCAUCUGAUACUGGCAAGCUUGAGUCUCGUAGAGGGGGGUAGAAUUCCAGGUGUAGCGGUGAAAUGCGUAGAGAUCUGGAGGAAUACCGGUGGCGAAGGCGGCCCCCUGGACGAAGACUGACGCUCAGGUGCGAAAGCGUGGGGAGCAAACAGGAUUAGAUACCCUGGUAGUCCACGCCGUAAACGAUGUCGACUUGGAGGUUGUGCCCUUGAGGCGUGGCUUCCGGAGCUAACGCGUUAAGUCGACCGCCUGGGGAGUACGGCCGCAAGGUUAAAACUCAAAUGAAUUGACGGGGGCCCGCACAAGCGGUGGAGCAUGUGGUUUAAUUCGAUGCAACGCGAAGAACCUUACCUGGUCUUGACAUCCACAGAACUUUCCAGAGAUGGAUUGGUGCCUUCGGGAACUGUGAGACAGGUGCUGCAUGGCUGUCGUCAGCUCGUGUUGUGAAAUGUUGGGUUAAGUCCCGCAACGAGCGCAACCCUUAUCCUUUGUUGCCAGCGGUCCGGCCGGGAACUCAAAGGAGACUGCCAGUGAUAAACUGGAGGAAGGUGGGGAUGACGUCAAGUCAUCAUGGCCCUUACGACCAGGGCUACACACGUGCUACAAUGGCGCAUACAAAGAGAAGCGACCUCGCGAGAGCAAGCGGACCUCAUAAAGUGCGUCGUAGUCCGGAUUGGAGUCUGCAACUCGACUCCAUGAAGUCGGAAUCGCUAGUAAUCGUGGAUCAGAAUGCCACGGUGAAUACGUUCCCGGGCCUUGUACACACCGCCCGUCACACCAUGGGAGUGGGUUGCAAAAGAAGUAGGUAGCUUAACCUUCGGGAGGGCGCUUACCACUUUGUGAUUCAUGACUGGGGUGAAGUCGUAACAAGGUAACCGUAGGGGAACCUGCGGUUGGAUCACC
Molecule: ribosomal RNA, 1528 nt
Filed under: Escherichia coli Envira 10/1
Lineage: Bacteria; Pseudomonadati; Pseudomonadota; Gammaproteobacteria; Enterobacterales; Enterobacteriaceae
Description: bacterial SSU rRNA
Rfam family: Bacterial small subunit ribosomal RNA
Source: RNAcentral